This 955-nucleotide ribosomal RNA is filed under the name uncultured marine bacterium. Its description in RNAcentral is "bacterial SSU rRNA". It matches the Rfam family "Bacterial small subunit ribosomal RNA", at positions 57 to 1056 of the family's 1533-position model. The record is from RNAcentral.
GCAAGUCGAACGAAGUAGCAAUACUUAGUGGCAGACGGGUGAGUAACAUGUAGGUAUCUACCCUUUGGUGAGGAAUAACACGAGGAAACUUGUGCUAAUACCUCAUAAGUCUUUACGGAGAAAGCUUUAUGCGCCGAAGGAUGAGCCUGCACUUGAUUAGUUUGUUGGUGGGGUAAUGGCCUACCAAGACUUUGAUCUAUAGCUGAUCUGAGAGGAUGAUCAGCCACAUUGGGACUGAGACACGGCCCAAACUCCUACGGGAGGCAGCAGUAGGGAAUAUUGCACAAUGGAGGAAACUCUGAUGCAGCGAUGCCGCGUGAGUGAAGAAGGCCUUUGGGUUGUAAAGCUCUUUCGUCGGGGAAGAAAAUGACUGUACCCGAAUAAGAAGGUCCGGCUAACUUCGUGCCAGCAGCCGCGGUAAUACGAAGGGACCUAGCGUAGUUCGGAAUUACUGGGCUUAAAGAGUUCGUAGGUGGUUAAAAAAGUUGGUGGUGAAAUCCCAGAGCUUAACUCUGGAACUGCCAUCAAAACUUUUUAGCUAGAGUAUGAUAGGGGAAAGCAGAAUUUCUAGUGUAGAGGUGAAAUUCGUAGAUAUUAGAAAGAAUACCAAUUGCGAAGGCAGCUUUCUGGAUCAUUACUGACGCUGAGGAACGAAAGCAUGGGUAGCGAAGAGGAUUAGAUACCCUCGUAGUCCAUGCCGUAAACGAUGUGUGUUAGACGUUGGAAAUUUAUUUUCAGUGUCGCAGCGAAAGCGUUAAACACACCGCCUGGGGAGUACGACCGCAAGGUUAAAACUCAAAUGAAUUGACGGGGACCCGCACAAGUAGUGGAGCGUGUGGUUUAAUUCGAAGAUACGCGCAGAACCUUACCAACACUUGACAUGUUCGUCGCGACUCUAAGAGAUUAGAGUUUUCGGUUCGGCCGGACGAAACACAGGUGCUGCAUGGCUGUCGUC